Molecule: ribosomal RNA, 500 nt
Filed under: uncultured Myrionecta
Lineage: Eukaryota; Ciliophora; Litostomatea; Cyclotrichida; Mesodiniidae
Description: SSU rRNA
Rfam family: Eukaryotic small subunit ribosomal RNA
Source: RNAcentral
CUAUCUCAGACUAGCCAUGCACGUCUAAGUACAAACUAAAUGAUGGUGAAACUGCAAAUGGCUCAUUACAACGGUUAUGAUGUACCCGGGAGUUCCGAUGGAUAUUUCCAGUAACACUAGAACUAAUACAUGUCCCUGCGUUUAUCAGUUUCGCACAGUCCGUCGCUGAGUCAUGGUAAACAGUUGAUCGACUCGACGUCCCGGAACAGUUUCCGCCCCAUCAGCUUCGAUGGUUGGGUAUUGGCCUACCAUUGCAACAACGGGUAACGAGGAAUUAGGGUUUGAUUUCGGAGAGGGAGCCUGAGAAACGGCUACCACAUCUACGGAUGGCAGCAGGCGCGCAAAUUACCCAAUGCAGACACUGUGAGGUAGUGACGAGAAAUAAUAAAGCGGGACUUCUGUUUCGCUAUUAUAAUGAGGAAUAACCAAAGGUCAUUCCGAUUAGCAACUGAUGGGAAAGUCUGGUGCCAGCAGCCGCGGUAAUACCAGCGUCAGUAGCA